Molecule: ribosomal RNA, 621 nt
Filed under: uncultured Actinomycetes bacterium
Lineage: Bacteria; Bacillati; Actinomycetota; Actinomycetes
Description: bacterial SSU rRNA
Rfam family: Bacterial small subunit ribosomal RNA
Source: RNAcentral
GGGCGUAAAGAGCUCGUAGGCGGUUGGUCGCGUCUGCUGUGAAAACCCGAGGCUCAACCUCGGGCCUGCAGUGGGUACGGGCCAACUAGAGUGCGGUAGGGGAGAUCGGAAUUCCUGGUGUAGCGGUGGAAUGCGCAGAUAUCAGGAGGAACACCAAUGGCGAAGGCAGAUCUCUGGGCCGUAACUGACGCUGAGGAGCGAAAGCGUGGGGAGCGAACAGGAUUAGAUACCCUGGUAGUCCACGCCGUAAACGGUGGGAACUAAUUGUAGGGGCCAUUCCACGGCUUCUGUGACGAAGCUAACGCAUUAAGUUCCCCGCCUGGGGAGUACGGCCGCAAGGCUAAAACUCAAAGGAAUUGACGGGGGCCCGCACAAGCGGCGGAGCAUGCGGAUUAAUUCGAUGCAACGCGAAGAACCUUACCAAGGCUUGACAUAUAGAGGAAACGUGCAGAAAUGUACGCCCAGCAAGGUCUCUAUACAGGUGGUGCAUGGUUGUCGUCAGCUCGUGUCGUGAGAUGUUGGGUUAAGUCCCGCAACGAGCGCAACCCUCGUCCUAUGUUGCCAGCACGUAAUGGUGGGAACUCAUGGGAGACUGCCGGGGUCAACUCGGAGGAAGGUAAU